UACGAAGGGUGCUAGCGUUGUUCGGAAUCACUGGGCGUAAAGCGCGCGUAGGCGGCUUUACAAGUCAGAGGUGAAAUCCCACGGCUCAACCGUGGAACUGCCUUUGAAACUGUAAAGCUGGAGUGUCGGAGGGGAUGGCGGAAUUGCUAAUGUAGAGGUGAAAUUCGUAGAUAUUAGCAGGAACACCGGUGGCGAAGGCGGCCAUCUGGACGACAACUGACGCUGAGGCGCGAAAGCGUGGGGAUCAAACAGG
RNAcentral lists this ribosomal RNA (253 nucleotides) under uncultured bacterium. Its description in RNAcentral is "partial 16S ribosomal RNA". It matches the Rfam family "Bacterial small subunit ribosomal RNA", at positions 524 to 776 of the family's 1533-position model. The record is from RNAcentral.